CCCAAGAGAUCGGGAUAACACCUGGAAACAGAUGCUAAUACCGGAUAACAACAGAUGAUGCCUAUCAACUGUUUAAAAGAUGGUUCUGCUAUCACUCUUGGAUGGACCUGCGGUGCAUUAGCUAGUUGGUAGGGUAACGGCCUACCAAGGCGAUGAUGCAUAGCCGAGUUGAGAGACUGAUCGGCCACAUUNGGGACUGAGACACGGCCCAAACUCCUACGGGAGGCAGCAGCU
Molecule: ribosomal RNA, 234 nt
Filed under: uncultured Lactobacillus sp.
Lineage: Bacteria; Bacillati; Bacillota; Bacilli; Lactobacillales; Lactobacillaceae
Description: partial 16S ribosomal RNA
Rfam family: Bacterial small subunit ribosomal RNA
Source: RNAcentral